Molecule: long non-coding RNA, 522 nt
Organism: Hyla sarda
Lineage: Eukaryota; Metazoa; Chordata; Amphibia; Anura; Hylidae
Exons: 4
Source: RefSeq, a predicted model, not a curated record
GAUUGGUUGCUAUGGGCAACUCAGCAACUUUUCCACUGGACAGGUUUUGAUAAAUCUCCUCCAGAGUCUUUAAAUCUAUGUGUUUUCUUAUAGAAUCAUCCUUGUUUAAUUGAUAAGAAAGAUAGCGAGGAAGAAAAAAGGGGGUCACUCCUGAAGAGAGAGACACGCAGAGCAGAGAGAGCUACCUGAAGGAAUUAGGAAGAAGUUGCCACUUCAUAUAAGCUCUGUCUACAGCCUUCAUAACAGCUCAGCCCUACUUGAGGAUAGAAUAUGAUGUUGGGACAUGAGGACGGGAUAUGAGAAUAAGCUAUGAAGGAUUCAGGGAUAUGCUUUGAAUACGUUUCUUCCAUACCGCAGAUCCCAAGCUGCCUCAAGUGCAUACAAACUUAUCCAGCCCCAAAAAUGUGAGCUCAAUAUGUUGAGAGCUGGCUACAGUAGGUCUAGGCAGUUUGCCUAGAGCUGUGAACUAUACAUCAUCACCAAUGCAUAAACAUUGCAAAUCACAGUAGUUUCUGUGGCAUC